Molecule: unclassified non-coding RNA, 638 nt
Filed under: Hevea brasiliensis (rubber tree)
Lineage: Eukaryota; Viridiplantae; Streptophyta; Magnoliopsida; Malpighiales; Euphorbiaceae
Source: RNAcentral
UAUACAGAGAAAUAAUAUAGUGAUCGACUUUUCAUAACAUCAACAAAUUAGAAGCAAAAAAAAUAAAUAAAGAAAGAAAAAGUUAAGAGUUAAAUUUCACAAUUUUUCGAAUAAAGAUCCAUAUUAAAGCUCACAACACUUGGAAGUUAGAUUGAGGAAAACCUCAAGAUCCAUUGCCAUUAGGAGAAUUCUAACUUCAUUUGCAAAUGAAUUUUCAUGUUUGGUAUGCUAAAACUUAAAUAUUUGAAUUGAAUUCCGCAAAAUCAUGUUUGGAAUAAAUGCAGAAUUGAAAUUCAUUUGCAUUUAUUUUCUAAAAUAUUAUUUGACAUAUAUUAUCAUGAAAUAAAUAAAUAAUUCAUAAUUAUAUUUGUUUUACUUAAUAAUCUUAUAUUCGUCUUUUUUUAAUUAAGAUACAUAAUAUACUCAUAUUUUAUAUGUUAUUUACCCUUAAAAUAAUAUCUAUCACUAUAUAAAUUAAAUAGUUUAAAAUAACAAAAUAAUAUUUAUCAAUGACAUCUUUUUCUUAUGACUUAUUUUCUAAGGUUAAAAAAUGCAUCAAUGCACAGUCAUAUAAAAAACAAAGGUCAGAAGAUACACAAGACAAAUGGUAUCCCUGUAACAAAACCAAUAUGCCCUUU